AUACGUAGGUGGCGAGCGUUGUCCGGAAUUACUGGGUGUAAAGGGUGCGCAGGCGGGCCGACAAGUUGGAUGUGAAAUCUCCGGGCUCAACCCGGAACGCGCAUUCAAAACUGUUGGUCUUGAGUGAGGUAGAGGCUGGCGGGAUUCCCGGUGUAGCGGUGAAAUGCGUAGAGAUCGGGAGGAACACCAGUGGCGAAGGCGGCCAGCUGGGCCUUUACUGACGCUGAGGCACGAAAGCAUGGGUAGCAAACAGGAUUAGAUACCCUGGUAGUCCAUGCCGUAAACGAUGAUUGCUAGGUGUGGGGGGACUGACCCCUUCCGUGCCGGAGUUAACACAAUAAGCAAUCCACCUGGGGAGUACGGCCGCAAGGUUGA
Molecule: ribosomal RNA, 375 nt
Filed under: uncultured bacterium
Lineage: Bacteria
Description: bacterial SSU rRNA
Rfam family: Bacterial small subunit ribosomal RNA
Source: RNAcentral